AUCAACGCUGGCGGCGUGCCUCAGACAUGCAAGUCGAACGAUUAAAGCUCUCUUCGGAGAGUGUAUAGAGUGGCGCACGGGUGAGUAACACGUAAGUAAUCUACCUUCGAGUGGGAAUAACGUCCGGAACGGACGCUAAUACCGCAUAAUGCAGCGGCAUCGCAAGAUGACAGUUGUUAAAGGAGCAAUUCGCUUGAAGAGGAGCUUGCGGCAGAUUAGCUAGUUGGUAAGGUAAUGGCUUACCAAGGCUACGAUCUGUAACCGGUCUAAGAGGACGGUCGGUCACACUGACACUGAAUAACGGGUCAGACUCCUACGGGAGGCAGC
This 327-nucleotide ribosomal RNA is filed under the name uncultured bacterium. Its description in RNAcentral is "bacterial SSU rRNA". It matches the Rfam family "Bacterial small subunit ribosomal RNA", at positions 32 to 352 of the family's 1533-position model. The record is from RNAcentral.